GGAUGCGAUCAUACUGGCACUAAAGCACCGGAUCCCAUCUGAACUCCGAAGUUAAGCGUGCUUGGACGAGAGUAGUACUAGGAUGGGUGACCUCCUGGGAAGUCCUCGUGUUGCAUUCC
RNAcentral lists this ribosomal RNA (119 nucleotides) under Triticum aestivum (bread wheat). The record is from RNAcentral. Lineage: Eukaryota; Viridiplantae; Streptophyta; Magnoliopsida; Poales; Poaceae.